CGGGGGCUACAGAAUAUUAGAGUGCUGAAGAAUGGUGGCUUCAAGCUCUAUGGUGCUGGAGGGGAGUCCAUCCAAGCAGAGGCUGUAGGGACAUAUAUGUUGAAGUUACCUUAUGAAAAGAUCUUAGAGCUAGAAAACUAUCAUUAUAUGCCUAAAAUCAUUAGAAAUAUUAUUUUUGUACCAUUGCUAUUGCAACGAGGUUAUGAAAUUAAUGGAAAG
RNAcentral lists this long non-coding RNA (219 nucleotides) under Elaeis guineensis (African oil palm). Its description in RNAcentral is "long non-coding RNA (EGUI_LNC051096)". Lineage: Eukaryota; Viridiplantae; Streptophyta; Magnoliopsida; Arecales; Arecaceae. The record is from RNAcentral.